RNAcentral lists this ribosomal RNA (2453 nucleotides) under Escherichia coli. Its description in RNAcentral is "bacterial LSU rRNA". It matches the Rfam family "Bacterial large subunit ribosomal RNA", at positions 512 to 2925 of the family's 2925-position model. The record is from RNAcentral. Lineage: Bacteria; Pseudomonadati; Pseudomonadota; Gammaproteobacteria; Enterobacterales; Enterobacteriaceae.
AGGCGAAAAGAACCCCGGCGAGGGGAGUGAAAAAGAACCUGAAACCGUGUACGUACAAGCAGUGGGAGCACAGAGCAAUCUGUGUGACUGCGUACCUUUUGUAUAAUGGGUCAGCGACUUAUAUUCUGUAGCAAGGUUAACCGAAUAGGGGAGCCGAAGGGAAACCGAGUCUUAACUGGGCGUUAAGUUGCAGGGUAUAGACCCGAAACCCGGUGAUCUAGCCAUGGGCAGGUUGAAGGUUGGGUAACACUAACUGGAGGACCGAACCGACUAAUGUUGAAAAAUUAGCGGAUGACUUGUGGCUGGGGGUGAAAGGCCAAUCAAACCGGGAGAUAGCUGGUUCUCCCCGAAAGCUAUUUAGGUAGCGCCUCGUGAAUUCAUCUCCGGGGGUAGAGCACUGUUUCGGCAAGGGGGUCAUCCCGACUUACCAACCCGAUGCAAACUGCGAAUACCGGAGAAUGUUAUCACGGGAGACACACGGCGGGUGCUAACGUCCGUCGUGAAGAGGGAAACAACCCAGACCGCCAGCUAAGGUCCCAAAGUCAUGGUUAAGUGGGAAACGAUGUGGGAAGGCCCAGACAGCCAGGAUGUUGGCUUAGAAGCAGCCAUCAUUUAAAGAAAGCGUAAUAGCUCACUGGUCGAGUCGGCCUGCGCGGAAGAUGUAACGGGGCUAAACCAUGCACCGAAGCUGCGGCAGCGACGCUGAUGCGUUGUUGGGUAGGGGAGCGUUCUGUAAGCCUGUGAAGGUGUGCUGUGAGGCAUGCUGGAGGUAUCAGAAGUGCGAAUGCUGACAUAAGUAACGAUAAAGCGGGUGAAAAGCCCGCUCGCCGGAAGACCAAGGGUUCCUGUCCAACGUUAAUCGGGGCAGGGUGAGUCGACCCCUAAGGCGAGGCCGAAAGGCGUAGUCGAUGGGAAACAGGUUAAUAUUCCUGUACUUGGUGUUACUGCGAAGGGGGGACGGAGAAGGCUAUGUUGGCCGGGCGACGGUUGUCCCGGUUUAAGCGUGUAGGCUGGUUUUCCAGGCAAAUCCGGAAAAUCAAGGCUGAGGCGUGAUGACGAGGCACUACGGUGCUGAAGCAACAAAUGCCCUGCUUCCAGGAAAAGCCUCUAAGCAUCAGGUAACAUCAAAUCGUACCCCAAACCGACACAGGUGGUCAGGUAGAGAAUACCAAGGCGCUUGAGAGAACUCGGGUGAAGGAACUAGGCAAAAUGGUGCCGUAACUUCGGGAGAAGGCACGCUGAUAUGUAGGUGAAGUCCCUCGCGGAUGGAGCUGAAAUCAGUCGAAGAUACCAGCUGGCUGCAACUGUUUAUUAAAAACACAGCACUGUGCAAACACGAAAGUGGACGUAUACGGUGUGACGCCUGCCCGGUGCCGGAAGGUUAAUUGAUGGGGUUAGCGCAAGCGAAGCUCUUGAUCGAAGCCCCGGUAAACGGCGGCCGUAACUAUAACGGUCCUAAGGUAGCGAAAUUCCUUGUCGGGUAAGUUCCGACCUGCACGAAUGGCGUAAUGAUGGCCAGGCUGUCUCCACCCGAGACUCAGUGAAAUUGAACUCGCUGUGAAGAUGCAGUGUACCCGCGGCAAGACGGAAAGACCCCGUGAACCUUUACUAUAGCUUGACACUGAACAUUGAGCCUUGAUGUGUAGGAUAGGUGGGAGGCUUUGAAGUGUGGACGCCAGUCUGCAUGGAGCCGACCUUGAAAUACCACCCUUUAAUGUUUGAUGUUCUAACGUUGACCCGUGAUCCGGGUUGCGGACAGUGUCUGGUGGGUAGUUUGACUGGGGCGGUCUCCUCCUAAAGAGUAACGGAGGAGCACGAAGGUUGGCUAAUCCUGGUCGGACAUCAGGAGGUUAGUGCAAUGGCAUAAGCCAGCUUGACUGCGAGCGUGACGGCGCGAGCAGGUGCGAAAGCAGGUCAUAGUGAUCCGGUGGUUCUGAAUGGAAGGGCCAUCGCUCAACGGAUAAAAGGUACUCCGGGGAUAACAGGCUGAUACCGCCCAAGAGUUCAUAUCGACGGCGGUGUUUGGCACCUCGAUGUCGGCUCAUCACAUCCUGGGGCUGAAGUAGGUCCCAAGGGUAUGGCUGUUCGCCAUUUAAAGUGGUACGCGAGCUGGGUUUAGAACGUCGUGAGACAGUUCGGUCCCUAUCUGCCGUGGGCGCUGGAGAACUGAGGGGGGCUGCUCCUAGUACGAGAGGACCGGAGUGGACGCAUCACUGGUGUUCGGGUUGUCAUGCCAAUGGCACUGCCCGGUAGCUAAAUGCGGAAGAGAUAAGUGCUGAAAGCAUCUAAGCACGAAACUUGCCCCGAGAUGAGUUCUCCCUGACUCCUUGAGAGUCCUGAAGGAACGUUGAAGACGACGACGUUGAUAGGCCGGGUGUGUAAGCGCAGCGAUGCGUUGAGCUAACCGGUACUAAUGAACCGUGAGGCUUAACCUUACAACGCCGAAGGUGUUU